RNAcentral lists this long non-coding RNA (277 nucleotides) under Musa acuminata (dwarf banana). Its description in RNAcentral is "long non-coding RNA (MACU_LNC004365)". The record is from RNAcentral. Lineage: Eukaryota; Viridiplantae; Streptophyta; Magnoliopsida; Zingiberales; Musaceae.
UGUGAUGUAGAAUCCGGGGUAAAGUAGAAUAAAUCUGGAAAGAAAAUCGAUAAUAUAAUUUUUUUCGGAUAGAAAAUGUACAAACUCCAUAUAAUACUUCAAUAAGAUCGAAAAAAUAACUCACCACCCAAUUUAAAAUCACAAAGGGAUAUAGAAAGUUCACCACUCUGAGGAAAUUAAACAACGAUACAGAACUGAAAAUAAAAGACUCGCCACUCAAGGAAACAUCCAAGAGAUACAGAGUUUAAACGAGAACUCCAAGAGAGCUUCUGCAAAA